GCUGAACUAGGGGAAUUUGCAAUGCCCUUCUAGCUAUACAACCCUAUGAACAACCUCAGUGACAAGAAUUAACUUUCUGUUACUUAUUUUAUCCAGAGGCCAUCACCAGAAACCAUUACUAACAAGUGUCAUGUUAGGCAGUCACUAUAAGAAUAAUACAUUCUGAUAUAUCGCUACAGGUACAUCUGCAUAAACACACAAAUUUAUACAGCAUUAACAUCUUACAUGAAUUCCACAGCUUGAGAACUACAAAGAACCUUUAGGUAAUUCAAUCCAGGUGAUUUCCCCACAUAUUUGAGCUAUAAAACUUUUUGUUAAAAAUGUUUUUCUAUUCAAUAUACAUUUACUGAGCAUAUACUCAUGUAUAAAAAUAAACUUGAAUAAGAGAGUACUUAUCAAAUUUGCUUGCUAGAGGAAUCUCUCGCUCUCUGGUACACACACCCACCCACACCCACCACAGUGCUCCACAAAUUUAUGCAUAUGAAGGAGUGAAGUAAUGGGCAAGGGUGGGAAAGAAUGGGGAACAAGUGGGAAAAUAGGAAAAGGGAACAAAUAUUUCUUGUCCUUAGGUUUGAGGAAUGGGGAAAAUUUUCAAAGCCAGAAAUUACCAAAUAUGUUAUUCAUGGUCCAAGGGUAGAUGAACAAAGGCAGAGGCUUAAAAAUAUCAGAAUUUUGGGAAAUAAAUUGGGGUGCAACAUUGCAGACCUCAUGUCUUACUUGAAGGGCAAUGUGAGUCCAUUUUGAGAAAGAUAUGGAUAAUGACAAUGGUGAUUUUUGGGGGUUGAUCCAGCAUCUAAAGAGACCCUUUCCCUGGUUAGGGCAGAGGAGUAGAAGGGACAGAGUAUGUGAAUGGAGCCUCACACAGCUUCUCUCUCCCCACAACUCAGUACUGAAGUAACCCUUGAAAGUAACUUUACAGAAACUAGAGGGCUCCAGAGACAGGACUGAAAGCCUUCUGUUGAGUCCAUCUUCCACUUUUCACAUCUAAAGAAACUACAGAUUGGAGUUCAUGGAUGAUUUGAGCAAGAUCAUACAAUAAUCCAUUACUGGGCUUUUUGCUCCCUGGUCCUCAGUUAAAGAUUGGUGGCUGGAAGUGGCUUCAAGAUAUUUUUCACCAGGUUCACAAAACACCUUAAUGAUCUGCUUUUACUGGAAAUAGUCUCAGCUAUCUAUGAAAACAUCAGUCCUUUAGGUCAGAGUUCAUAGACAAGGACACUGGCAGACCACUGGCUAUUGCAGUGUCCAUACAUUUUUGACCAUCAUUGUAUUUAUUGCCAUUAUUAUUAUUUGUGGGGAUGGAGGUUGUGUGUGUGUUUUCAGAGACAUAAAAGGUCUUAACAUCUAAUUGUUUUUAAGAUCCAGAGUUUGGAAGUGUAUAGUUGAGGAGAUAUUUAGGUUUUAACAACUCCUUUUAGAAUAAAGUAUGUGGUAACAUCCUAUUUCUAUCCAAGGUAAAUACAGAAUUACACUAUGAUGUCACUUCAUAAGCAUGCUAAAUUCUCCUAAAGAUCAGGUGGGCAUGCACUUUCUUUGUGGACACCUAAGAGAUAAUCCAUGAGCUGGCAACUUCUAUAGUCCCUGACAAUGAAGCUACAGGACCCCACAUUGAUUUAGGUCAGAAAUGUAUGGAGAAGCUCAUACAAUUGGAAAGAUCCCUGAUUUUGCCGGCUAUUGCCUCAGGCUUGUAGGUGACAAAAAGGUUUUUCCUUGAUCCUAUUAGGGUCCAUGGCUGGGUGUGAAAAUAGUAAACUGACAAACACAGAUUAUCAGGAAAAAAGUACACACAUUUGUUUAAGUAAGUUGUAUGCUGGGUCACUUUGCUGUACAGUAGAAAUUGGCACAAUAUUGUAAAUAGACUACGAUAAAAAAAGAAAAAAAUAAGAAGUUGUAUGUGACAUGGGAGACUUCGCAAGGAAAUGAAGAUCCAAGAAACAGACUUUGUAUUUUUGUGCUAGGUUUGAUGGAAAGGGAACAGCUGUGGUAAGAACAGGUUAAGGACUGUGAAGUCAUUGUAAUAACAUGGGGGUACCUUAGUGAGACCUGUUUGUUAGGAUUCUUCCUGAUGUCCCUGCUCUUUUCCUCUGGGUAUAGGGAGGGCCCCUGUUACAUGAAGAUUUUAUGAUCUGUUUCAGGGAAGAAGGAUAAGGUGGGAUAGGAGAUCAAAGUGACCUUUCUACUUCUACCAUUUCCUCAAACACCUUCAGCCUAAGACACUGCAUAUGUCAGGGUGCCAUAUUUGGAGGUUGUAUUUCCUGAACCCCAAAUGCCUCUUCAUUCUUUAAUUUCUACCUCUGAGAUCCUGAGUCAGCUUUGGGGUUUUGGUGAGUUAGCUCUUCAACUCGCCUGUCCUUUGUCUUGCUGCUCCUGCUCCCCCAACCUAGAUACUUAUUUAUUUUUCAACAUGGUUUCCCUCCUCGCCAGCAGACAAGCUUAGACAAUUACAUGAAACUUAUAUCUGCAGAAGUAUCACCUAAGGAAGGUACUUAAAUUUUUAAAGUAGAGUUUUUAUAAUGAGACACUUUUAAGACCCGGGGGAAUAAUUCCUAAAGGACACGUGGGUUACUAUGGAAGGGGGAGAGGGGCCCUAAUGGCAUGCUUCACCCCACAUAUAGCCAUCUUCCUGUCUAGAAGGUUAACUGCACAGCAGAGAAGGAGACUGAGCCAUCAUUUCUUUUUGGUGCCUCAUUACAAAUUUUUCUCUUAGGCUGAGUCUUCAAUUUUAUGCCGAGCCAGGUGUUGCAGAGUGGGCUGAAGUAACAAAUCAACCCAUUUGAGCUUUUGAAGAUACUAAUUUGCCUUCGGAUAUCUUUAAUCUGGUGGAAUAUAUCCCCCUUUCACAGCAUUUCUGAACUUAAACACUAUCCAAAACAACAUGUGGCAUUUUCUCUAAUUACUUAUGAUUAAGAAAAAAAGCAAAGUCAGGCCCUCAAGGCAUCAACACUUUGCCAUUUUCCCAGAGAAAUGAGUACUGCAGAGCAAAGCAGCUUGAAAAUUAAUGCAAGGCACAACACAGCCCAGGGAUGUAGGCUUGCAUUUCUUUUCUGCACUGUAUUUCAAAAAUGUUUUACACAACAGGAGAAGGG
RNAcentral lists this long non-coding RNA (3083 nucleotides) under Sus scrofa (pig). Its description in RNAcentral is "lncRNA (ENSSSCG00000057942.1)". The record is from RNAcentral. Lineage: Eukaryota; Metazoa; Chordata; Mammalia; Artiodactyla; Suidae.